ACGAACGCUGGCGGCGUGCUUCACACAUGCAAGUCGAACGGAAAGGCCCUGCUUGCAGGGUGCUCGAGUGGCGAACGGGUGAGUAACACGUGGGUGAUCUGCCCCUUACUUUGGGAUAAGCCUGGGAAACUGGGUCUAAUACUGGAUAGGACCAUGCUGUAGGUGGUGUGGUGGAAAGAUUUUUUCGGUAAGGGAUGAGCUCGCGGCCUAUCAGCUUGUUGGUGGGGUAAUGGCCUACCAAGGCGUCGACGGGUAGCCGGCCUGAGAGGGUGGACGGCCACAUUGGGACUGCGAUACGGCCCAGACUCCUACGGGAGGCAGCAGUGGGGAAUAUUGCACAAUGGGCGCAAGCCUGAUGCAGCGACGCCGCGUGGGGGAUGACGGCCUUCGGGUUGUAAACUCCUUUCAGCCAUGACGAAGCCUCUUUUGGGGUGACGGUAGUGGUAGAAGAAGCACCGGCUAACUACGUG
RNAcentral lists this ribosomal RNA (470 nucleotides) under uncultured bacterium. RNAcentral's name for it is "partial 16S ribosomal RNA". It matches the Rfam family "Bacterial small subunit ribosomal RNA", at positions 29 to 507 of the family's 1533-position model. The record is from RNAcentral.